UGCCAGCCUUGCUGCCUGCCGUGGGGCACUGGCAGGAGAAGCAGGCAGCUCCAUCCUAAAGAACAUCACCUAUUUUUGCUCAGGGACUGCAGCUGUGGAUCUACAGGAACCCAGGACCUGCAGGGAGCUCACAAUGGGCCUGUCCCCACCCCGACACCCUGAGCUACUCCAUCAGGGAAAGCACAUUGACAGACCUGCCCGCAAACCUGCUGCCAGCACUGCUGUUCCCAAACGGAGAUGGAAAUGGAAGGAGGGAAGGAUCACUUCAGCUGUCAGCAGGCAGCGGCCGAGCAGGCUGAUAAACGUGCAGCAGGCAGCUCGGCGGCCCCCGGCACCCAGCAGCUCCGAGCUGGGCAGUGUCUGCGCCGGAUCCCGCACUGAGCGUGGAAGACGGGAUAACCCAUCGCUUUAUUCUUUCAGACGGGUCUCCCACGCUCUGCCGCUCCGCACGUUGGUGGCAUUGUCCCCGGCUCCGGGCUCCAAGGGGUCCACUUCCAGAUAAGAGUUACCGGCAGGGAGGGCGCGCAGCGGCUAUCAGUCCCUCCUCGCCGCCCCCCGCUCCGCUUCUCCCUGCGGGGCCGGGCCGUG
This is a long non-coding RNA of Gallus gallus (chicken), 588 nucleotides long. Lineage: Eukaryota; Metazoa; Chordata; Aves; Galliformes; Phasianidae. The record is from Ensembl.